AACGAACGCUGGCGGCAUGCCUAACACAUGCAAGUCGAACGAGACCUUCGGGACUAGUGGCGCAUGGGUGCGUCACGCGUGGGAACCUGCCCUUAGGGUUGGAAUAACUCCCCGAAAGGGGUGCUAACACCGGAUCAUAUCUUCUGACCAAAGAUUUUUCGCCUUUGGUUGUGCCCGCGUUGGAUUAGCUAGUUGGUACGGUAAAAGCUUACCAAGGCGACGAUCCAUAGCUGGUUUGAGAGAAUGAUCAGCGACACUGGGACUGAGACACGGCCGAGACUCCUACGGGAGGUAGCAGUGGGGAAUAUUGGACAAUGGGCGAAAGCCUGAUCCAGCAAUGCCGCGUGAGUGAUGAAGGCCUUAGGGUUGUAAAGCUCUUUUACCCGGGAUGAUAAUGACAGUACCGGGAGAAUAAGCUCCGGCUAACUCCGUG
This 433-nucleotide ribosomal RNA is filed under the name uncultured bacterium. Its description in RNAcentral is "partial 16S ribosomal RNA". It matches the Rfam family "Bacterial small subunit ribosomal RNA", at positions 29 to 507 of the family's 1533-position model. The record is from RNAcentral.